This 384-nucleotide ribosomal RNA is filed under the name uncultured eukaryote. Its description in RNAcentral is "SSU rRNA". It matches the Rfam family "Eukaryotic small subunit ribosomal RNA", at positions 587 to 972 of the family's 1831-position model. The record is from RNAcentral.
AGCUCCAAUAGCGUAUACUAACGUUGUUGCAGUUAAAAAGCUCGUAGUUGGAUUUCUGUUACGGUGAGUCGGCCGGCUCUUCGGAGUUGUAGCUAGAUUUCAUUGUAGCAUCUUGACGUAAUUACCACUGGCAUUCAUUUGUUGGUGCGUAGGACCGUCUCGUUUACUUUGAGAAAAUUAGAGUGUUCAAAGCGGGCUAUCGCCUUGAAUAUAUUAGCAUGGAAUAAUAAUAUAGGACUUUUGGUUCUAUUUUGUUGGCGUUCGAGAACCAAAGUAAUGAUUGAUAGGGACAGUUGGGGGCAUCAGUAUUCUGAAGCGAGAGGUGAAAUUCUUGGACCUUCGGAAGACUAACAGCUGCGAAAGCGUUUGCCUAGGAUGUUCUCU